AUUUCAGAGAAAAGUGAAUUCUGAAAUUUGAAUAAUGCAUCUGACGUGUGUGUGAUGACGUCACGACGCACGUAUUUUGAUUUUUACCAGUCGUUCAAGGCGGACGGAUUCAGUCCCAAGAAGCUAAAGUUUUUCAAAGACAUUUGUAGGGAGGACUUUGCAGCUAAUGGAGCUGAAGUAUUUUAUGUAAGGAGGAUUUUGCAGCCCAUAUAGAUUUCCUUAGGCUGAACCAAAACCUGCCAGACUAAAGUUGAUUUGGGAGAGC
Paramisgurnus dabryanus is the source of this 265-nucleotide non-coding RNA. The record is from RefSeq and is a predicted model, not a curated record. NCBI's taxonomy places the organism in Eukaryota, Metazoa, Chordata, Actinopteri, Cypriniformes, Cobitidae.